CAUUAUAGUUUAUUUAAAUGCUUAUGACAAUAUUUAAGCUUCGACUUAAAUCAAGACCUCUACUGAUGAUACUGUUGGUGCAUAUCUCUGCAGACCAACCGCACAACGGCGAGGAUCUUCCCUGCUGUACCGGAUGUUGAGAACCCUGAAUUCAAGAGGAAGUUAGACAGGAUGGUAGAUAUCAACCUGAAGAUCAUUUCUAUAGGAGAGUCCAACGACUUGCCCCUGGUGAAGAACCUGAAGAGGGUUCCUCUUAUUGCCCAACUAGUGUCUGAGAUCAUCGCUGCGUACCUCAUGCCCCCAAUCGAGUCUGGCUCCGUUGAUUUUGCCGAAUUUGAGCCCAAGCUUGUCUACUGAAUUUGUCGAAAAAGGAUUCAUCUCUGCCUAUCUUUACAAACAUAAUGAUGCAUCAUGCUCCUCGAGAGUCUCUAAAUGAGCACAGGGUCCAUGGUUAAUUAACAUGAUCUACAUCUUCCUGUGCUCACCUGUAAAGUAUUAAAACUCGGCAACAUGUAAGUGGCAGUGAACUGCAUCAGAGCAUGUGUUCCGGUUUUGCUUCGGAUGGAGAAGUGUAUGUGAAGUUGUCAUGUAACUUGUGUUGAUACUUUUAACACUUCUUCUUCAGUACAAUCCCCGGGCACAACGACGGAUUGAACGAUACCCUUUCGUAAAAAAGGGCAGGAAGGUCUUUCCUCCGUUCCGAUGUACGCGUCGUACCCGCGUCUGUCAGUGUGACGUGUCGUCUCCACGUCAGCCCACGUCGCCCUGACCACGGUCAAAUCAGACCCCUUUGCGCCGGUUCCAGAUUGAUCGUCGGUUCCCGAGGCCGCUGCCAUUAAUCCCGUCUACGUCGUCAGUUCGCCGUCUCUCGAGGUCGCCUCCAUUAAUCCCGCCUGCAUCGUCAAUUCGCUGUCUCCCGAGGCCCGACGCAUUAACGCCUGACGACGCCGCCUAUUGACCGACGGUCCGCCCUCUCCCGAGGCCCGACGCAUUAAUGCCUGACGUCGUCGCCUAUUGACCGUCGAUCCGGCCAUCUCUCGAGGCCGCGCAUUAACGCCUGACGCCGCCGUCUCCCGAGGCCCGUCGCCUCCCCGAGACAACGUGUUUACUUCGGGGGAGCAACGCCGCCCAACCACCCCGUCGCCUCCCCUUCCCCCGACAGUCUAUAUAAAGACGACGUCCCCGGGCACGUCCCCCAGACGCGUCGCUCUCCUCUCCUCUCCUCUCCCUCGUCGCCCCGCUACUCCUCUCCCUCCAACCUCUCGCCCCGACGAUGGCAUCCUCCGCCGGUGGCAACAGUUCUGGCGCCGGUGGCGACCCGCCGAGCAUCCGGCCGACGAGCCUUGACGCUCCAGCGACGGAGGAGCUCCAUCGCUACGCGCUGCUGGUCCCGCCGGGGUGCCAGCUCAUGAAGCCGUAGAAAGUCAGCAUGGACGGCUACGCGACGCUCGGGCCCGCCGCGACGACGGAGGAGCGUCGUAACCAUCGCGGCGGCCGACACAAUAUCUACGACCGGCACGCGUUUUGGGACGGCAAGUCCUACGCCGACGUCAUCAACCAGCACCAGCGCGCGUCGGCGGCCGCGGGCAACCCCGUCAACCCCGGGCGUCGGGCGUUAACCCCCCAGCCCCUGCCGGUGGCCCCGCCGGAGGUUGAACUCCUGCCGGGGCAGGUCGUCCUCCGCGAGGACGACGAUCCCGACUAUUCACUGGGGCUUCUCGUCGCCCUGCGUGCCUCUUAGGCGACGGCUGCGGCGGUCGCGGCGCGGCGGCGACGACGGAGGACGCGGAGAUCGUGGCGGGAAUCCAGGCGGUGGCGGCACUGGCGGCAAAUCCAUAGCCCAUCGUCGAGGACGACGACGACGAUAUCGACUGGGAUAACCUCGUCAACAGUUCUGACGACAACAACGACGCGGACGGGGACGACACGGUGGAGGGGUCGAACGUCGUCUACCUCGACGAGUCCGAUUAGAUUAGUUUUAGUAAUGUUUAAUUAAAUUUCAUUUUUAGUUUUAGUAAUCUUUAAUGAAAUUUUGCUUUUAGUUUUAGUAAUGUUUAAUUAAAUUCGUGUUAUGUUGGAAUGUAAUAUGAAUGAACUAUGGUUAUCAAAAUUAAGUGUUGUUAUGUUAUCUAAGUUAAGUGUUGUUAUUAUUAUUUCUUCGGAAUAUUGAACAAUUUUUGAAAUAUGUUAAAAAAAUUGGCCUUCCUUACAUUUAAAAAAUAUAUACAAACAGUUCAUAAAAAUGCAAAUAAAAUUUCGAAGUACACGAUUUUGAAAAAGAACACACACAUUCUUUUAAGGCCAUUAUGGGAGCAUUAUAACAACGGGCGCAAAUCUAUCAUAACGAUGGGCUCACUAACGCCGUUGGUUUAUCUUCUUUCAUAUCUUUGUUCACUUAAAACGAUGAUGUGACAAUGUUACUAAUAGGCGACUUGAUAGAUGCGAGGGGCCCGAUCUUUCGAUGAGACGAUAACUAUCGAUUUGAUGGAGACGACUUUGACGAUCCGACUAUAAACGUGCACAACGUUGCGCCUUAGCAAUCGCUAAACCAAUCUCGAAGAGGUUAUUGACCACGCCGAAGCACGAUCAAGCUGACCACGAAGGUCUCUUCCUGCAAGCAAUCGAAGAACAAACAAGAAUAUGAUAAAAGCAAUCUGAAUAUUGUGAAUAUAUAUGAAGUAUUGAUAAGGGUGGGGAUCCGAAAGCGGUCUUGAUCUGGUCGUUGGACACAAACGAAGUACACGAAGUUGCAAUGGCUAACUUUUAACUAAACAAAUCACAAGCAAAAAGCUACUAGGUUGAUCUACUUAUAUAGGAGCAAGGGGUGGCGGACAAGGUGGUGGGAGGACAUCCCAAGGCAACCUAAAACUAACCCUAGAUCGUACAAGUCCUAUGGGCCCAAGUGGAGGUGGUGCAACACCUUUGGACUUGUUGUUUUACUCGGAUUCUUGUGCAACAUCAUUUUGUUUGGUCGAUACCUCCAUGCUCCGGACGAAUUUGAAGGUGAUUCCAAUUGGGCCUGAAAGCCAGUAAAAUCUACUUUGCAGCCCAAAGCGAAUCACGCAAUUCGGAGUCCGGAUGAAAAAGUUGAAGGCGUUUUGGUAUAGGUAUGUCUGUGCAGUCCAAAUCUAAGUUCAGAACGUGAAAGACUUGUACUUUGUCUUCUCUUGGGCUAAAAGUGACGUGAGAGAACUUCUUGAACCGCAACUAAUUAUUUCUUUUGACUUGAGAGGACCUCUUGAGUAGCAUCCAAUCAUUUCCUCUUCCCCUGUCAUCAUACGUGAUUCAUACAAGUGUUCGGCCAUUCUGCAUUUAGGCAUAAAAUAAAAACAGGUCAAGUAUUUUUGUUUCAAAUAACAUAAAUAAAUUAUUGCAUGAGUUUUAUCAGAAAUCACCUCAAAUAAAUGCGCGUCGGGAAUGGUUCCAAGGUCGAUGUGAUCACCAUCGGCACGCUACCUCUACAUCUACCAUCAGGAUUAGUUUUAAACCUUAAUAAUUGUUAUUUAGUACCAGCUUUGAGCAUGAACAUUGUAUCGGGAUCUUGCUUGAUGCGAGAUGGCUACUCAUUUAAAUCUGAGAAUAAUGGUUGUUCCAUUUAUAUGAGUGAUUUUUUAUGGUCAUGCCCCGCUGGUCAAUGGUUUAUUCCUGAUGAAUCUCGAAUGCGAUGUUACACAUAUUCAACUUUUAGUUUUUGAAAAAACACACGGAUUUCCCAAAAUACGACACCUAUCACUAAUAGGCUCAAGCUCUUGGCACCAAUAGUCCAAACGUUACUCAAAUCAAUACCACGAAACUAUUACAAGUUACUGCUAUACUUAAAUAGCAAUCUCAUUUACCUACUCAUGCAAGACACACAACUCAGUGCAACGAGCCAACUCUCUAGACAAGAUAAGCAUGAUAACUCAAGAGAGCUCCAAAAUCAACCUAAAUAAAAGCUCUUAAAAAUAUAAUCAUGAAAACUAAGAGCUAAGGAUGACAGUAGCUACGAAAAGAUAGAGAACACACAUAAAAGACAAGCAUGAAAACCUAUGUUGUGUUCUAGAGUGGAAUGGAGCGUGUGUCUCUCCCAAACAAGGUAGGCUAGGUUCCGACUUGUUAUGGACAGCAAGAAAAACUAAAACAAACUAAAAAGUAAAGAGCGGGACGCUCCAAGCAUAGCACAUAACAUAUGAAGUGAUAAAAAUAUAGCAUGGAGGUGGACGAACUGAUGAUUGUUGAUAGAGAAGGGGAUGCACGGGGGCAUCCCAAAGCUGAGACGCUUGAGUCUCCUUAAAUAUUUCUUGGGGUGCAUUGGAGAAUCCCCAAGCUUGAGCUCUUGACACUCAUGUAUCUUCUUUCAUCAUCUCCCAUCGCAUACUUGAAAACUCCCUUCAUACAAAACUCAUCAUAAGCUGAUUAGAGUGGUUAGUACACAUGAUAAAAUAAUUCAUUACCUACUGGAAAUAAUGAUUUUCAUGAAAAGCUACUAUUUCUCAUGAUUUACAAAAGGUUUUUGCAAAGGAAAAAAAGUUUAAGAUUUGCAAAAUGAUGAAAACGCAAAACGUGGCAGAAUCUGUGAAAAAGAGAACAUCAAGUAGUAAAUAAUUUAUUCGGGGCACUUCUGUAACUCAAAUCAAAAACCUCAGAACAUAUGAUAGAAAUGCAAUUAUAUAGAGCAUGCUUUCAAAACAAUUCAAAUCAAAAAUAUGAACUGGUGAUUUUUGGCGAAUUUUUCCAUCAGGCAGACAGAAUGUGUUUCUAGACAGCAUGUUACAACUUUUGAACUUUCUUGCAAUCGGAGGCUAAAACUUGGCACAAAGCUUGAAAAUAAAGAUACAAUGAUGUUGCUACAGUAGUAACAAGCAUCAAGACCACUAAAAAUGAAAGUGAAAACUCAAAGUAAAGAAAACAAGGGUUGUCUCCCUAGAGCUCUUUCUUUAUAGCCAUAAAGAUAGGCUUAAGAUUUUAAUGAUGCUCUCGUAGGAAUAAGAGUUGUAGAACAAAAGAGAGCAUAAAGAAGCCAAUACCAACCACAUUUAAGUCUAAGAUGCAUCCUAUGAAUAGGAAUAUUGCAAUAGAAUAAUUCGUUGAAGCACAAAGCAAUAAGCAUAGGAAGGCAAAACAAGUGCAGCUUCAAAACCUUCAACAUAAAGAGAGGGAACUUGAUAUUAUUGAAAUAUCUAUAAGCAUAUGUUCCCUUAUCAUAAUAGUUUUCAGUGGGAUCAAUGAAUAAACUCAACAAUAUAAGUAUCACAUAAAGCAUUGUUACCAUGAUCCACAUGCAAAAAGGUACUCUUACUCUCCACAUAAGCAUAAUCUUCCUCAUUGGUAAUAGUGGGAGUAGGACUAUCAUAAACAACCUGAACACUAUAGAUUAAUUGUGUAUUGGGGAGAUGGUGUUCAGCAAGGGAGUAAUUCCCUCCAUGAUUGUGACAAGUUCCAUAAGGAUAAUUUAUCCUUAUGUCAUAGGUAUCUUUACAAUCACUAUAGAUAGGAGUUAUAACAUCAUCAUGGUAGAGAAGAGCAUUAUUAUUGCUAGCAACUAUAUUUGUAAACAUGUUGUCUUUAUUCUUACUAGCAAAAGAAUUAUCAAUUAUCACAUUACUAAUGGGUAAAGGACUUGCAAUCCUAUCAUCCCCAAGCUUAGGGCUUUCCACAUCAUCAUUUUCAACGUUGGUACCAAAAAGAUUUUCAAGAUCAUAAGUAGCAUUAUGAUCAUCUUCCCAAUCACAAUAAGUAACAUGCAUAACAUAAUGAAAAUCAUCUUCAAUAGUACCUACGGACUUAUCAUCAAGAUAAUAAUGAACGCAAUCAAGCUCACCAUCCUCCAUAAAUUUAUGUCUGUUAGGAUAAGAGUUGAUGCAAAGAAUAUGCUUAGGCCAGGUUGAUACCCAUUCUUCUUCCUUCUUGUUCCUCUUCCUCCUCUUCCUUUUCUUCUUCUUCACCUUAGGAGGGAGUGGUUGGAGAGGAAGCUUCUCCAAAUAUUCUGGUUUAUUAUUAGAAACAAUAGGGGAAACAUGGGAGAAACUCUCCUUUUUAUUAGUGGAAACAUAAGAAACAUUUUUAUGCUUUGGUAAAGUUCCCUCCUUUCUAAUCUUACUUAUGCAAUCAUUUUCAUGGCAAUUAACAACACAAUAGAGAUGGCAUUUUUGCAAAGUGUUGUUUAUUCCUAAGGUAUUAUCAUCUAGCCAAGAAGUUUUUUCUGAUAACUCUUCACACAUCAAAAAUAACAUAAGUUCAUCAUAAAGAUCAGAAGUGAUCAUUGAUACGCCUCCGUCGUAUCUACUUUUCCGAACUCUUUUUCCCUUGUUUUGGACUCUAAUUUGCAUGAUUUGAAUGGACUAACCCGGACUAACGCUAUUUUCAGCAGAAUUGCCAUGGUGUUGUUUUUGUGCAGAAAUAAAAGUUCUUGGAAUGACCUGAAAAAUUACGGAGAAUUUUUCUGAAAUUAAAGAAAAAUACAUGCGCAAAGAUCCACCGGAGGGGGUGAACUAGUGGGCCACAAGCCCACUAGACGCAGCCACCCCCCAGGCCGCGCUGUGAGGGCUUGUGGGGCCCACGAGGCUCCACCACCUCCAAACUCAGCUCUAUAUAUUCCAUUUCGCCUGGAAAAAAACCAGAGAGAAGGAUUCAUCGCGUUUUACGAUACGGAGGCGCCGCCACCUCCUGUUCUUCAUCUGGAGGGCAGAUCUAGAGUCCGUUCUGGGCUCCGGAGAGGGGAAAUCGUCGCCAUCAUCAUCAUCAACCUUCCUCCAUCGACAAUUCCAUUAUGCUCUUCACCGUUUUGAGUAAUCUCAUCGUAGGCUUUUGGACGGUGAUGAGUUGGAUGAGCUAUCAUGUAAUCGAGUUAGUUUUGACGGGGAUUGAUCGCUAGUAUCCACUAUGUUCUGAGAUUGAUGUUGCUACUACUUUGCCAUGCUUAAUGCUUGUCACUAGNNNNNNNNNNNNNNNNNNNNNNNNNNNNNNNNNNNNNNNNNNNNNNNNNNNNNNNNNNNNNNNNNNNNNNNNNNNNNNNNNNNNNNNNNNNNNNNNNNNNNNNNNNNNNNNNNNNNNNNNNNNNNNNNNNNNNNNNNNNNNNNNNNNNNNNNNNNNNNNNNNNNNNNNNNNNNNNNNNNNNNNNNNNNNNNNNNNNNNNNNNNNNNNNNNNNNNNNNNNNNNNNNNNNNNNNNNNNNNNNNNNNNNNNNNNNNNNNNNNNNNNNNNNNNNNNNNNNNNNNNNNNNNNNNNNNNNNNNNNNNNNNNNNNNNNNNNNNNNNNNNNNNNNNNNNNNNNNNNNNNNNNNNNNNNNNNNAUAGUAUGAGGAGUUCAUCUAUUCACCAAGUGUCAAUGCGUUGGUCCGGUUCUUUAUUAAAAUGAGAACCUUAAUAUCUCGUAGUUUCCAUUAGGACCCCGCUGCCACGGGAGGGAUGGACAAUAGAUGUCAUGCAAGUUCUUUUCCCUAAGAACGUAUGACAACAUACCGAAUACAUGCCUACAUUAGAUUGACGAAUGGGAGCUAGUCACAUAUCUCUCCGUGUUAUAGCUGUUACAUGAUGAAUCACAUUCGGCAUACUCAUCCAUCACCAAUCCACUACCUACGAGUCUUUUACUACUUGUCCUUGCUACGUUACUUUGCCGCUACUGUUGUUACUGCUGCUACCGUUGCUACUGUCACUACUGCUGUUACUUGCUACUUUGUUGUUACUUGUUGCAACACUUUAUUGGCGCCAUUGAUACAACAAGUUAGGAAUAGUCUGCCGUCAACAGACCUUUUCUGGCACCGUUGCUAUCAUACAACUUUGCUACUAAUACUUUGCCUGCAGACACUAAUCUUUCAGGUGUGGUUGAAUUGACAACUCAGCUGCUAAUACUUGAGAAUAUUCUUUCGCUUCCCUUUGUGUCAAAUCAAUAAAUUUGUGUUGAAUACUCUACCCUCGAAAACUGUUGCGAUCCCCUACACUUGUGGGUUAUCAAGACCUUUUUCUGGCGCCGUUGCGAGGGAGGCACAACUAUAUUCUCUGAGUCACUUGGGAUUGACGUCUGCUGGUCACUAUGAGGAAUCCGAAAGAUCCAAGAACUAAAAUCUUGCCUUCCACUACGAGGACAGAUAAGGAUCUGCCAUCUAGCUCUGCACUUGAUUCACCUUCAGUUAUGAGUAAGUUUGCGACAUCGCCUCCUGCUAGAAAUCUUGAUAUGUCGCUUGUGCUUGAUGAUGCUACUUCUGCUGCCCAUGAUGCUUAUGAUGAUGCUAUGCUUGAUAUUAUGCCUGAUGAUGCUAUGCUUGAUACUAUGCCUGAUGAUGCUAUAACUGAUACUGCUUUGCCACUAGGUGCAUUCCUUGAUGCACAAAUUGCUAGAAUUGCUGCUAGAUGUGAUGAUACUUUUGAAACUGCUGCUAUUGAAGUAGAACCUGCUACUAUGCCUGAAUUGCCUGUUACGCCUGAACGCUAUGUUAUGGAGGGAGAGAUAGCUGAGGAUUUUCUUGUGCGUAAGGAUAGCUAUGAUGUUGAGAAAUUACUGCGCAAGUGGAAAGAAAAAUCUCUGAACGCUAGGAUGAAAUACGACCCGAAGUUUGCUACUUCGCCUAUCUUUGUGACCGAUAAGGAUUAUGAAUUCUCUGUCGACCCUGAGUUAAUCACUCUGGUCGAAUCUGAUCCUUUUCAUGAUUAUGAUUCUAAAACGGUUGUAGCCCAUCUUACCAAACUGCACGAUAUAGCCACCCUAUUCUCUAGUGAGGAAAAGAUCCGCCACUACUAUAUCCUCAAGCUGUUUCCUUUCUCGCUAAAGGAUUAUGCUAAGACCUGGUUCACUUCUCUUGCUCCUGGAUGUGUGCGCAGCCCCGAGGAUAUGGUGUACUACUUCUCUGAGAAAUAUUUCCCUGCCCAUAAGAAGAAAGCUGCCUUGCAGGAAAUAUACAACUUUGCUCAACCUUAAGAAGAGAGUCUCCCACAAGCUUGGGGGAGGCUCAUCCAGCUACUGAAUGCUUUGCCUGAUCACCCUCUUGAGAAGAAUGAAAUACUUGAUAUCUUCUAUAAUGGACUUACCGAUGCUUCCAAAGACCACCUAGAUAGUUGUGUUGGUUGUGUUUUUAGGGAACGAACUGUAGAACAAGUUGAGAUUCUACUGAAUAACAUCUUGUGCAAUGAGAAUGCUUGGACUAUUCCCGUACCACCUCCUAAGCCAACUCCGAAGAAAAGAGUCAUUCUAUUCCUCAGUCCUGAAGAUAUGCAAGAAGCCAAGAAAUCUAUGCGAGAGAAAGGCAUUAAAUCUGGAGAUGUCAAACAUCUACAACCUAUCGAAGAGAUCCAUGGUCUCGAUAACCCGAUACAGGUAGUAGAAGUAAAUUCUCUGCGUAGGUUUGAUGAGAGUGAUAUUCCUUUUGAUAAACCUGCUAGCCUAUGCAUGGAUGAAUUUGAUAACUUUGUUUCCAAACAACAAAUUUUCAAUGAUUAUGUUAGCAGACAAUUGGAACAGAAUGCUCGUAUGCUUAGUCAUUUAAGUGCUUGUGUGGACUUAAACGUCAAUGAUCUUAAGCUUCUGAGUAAGCAUGCCUCUAUGGUUACUAAUCAGGUAGAACAAGUACUUAAAGCUCAAAAUGACUUGCUCAAUGAGUUGAAUGAAAAUUAUGUCAGAGUCUUCACUAGAGGCGGUAGAAUGACCCAGGAACCCUUGUAUCCUGAGGGUCAUCAGAAAAGAAUUGAACAAGAUUCUCAAGGACUUAGCACUGAUGCACCUAGUCAUCCUAGAAAGAAGAAGAAAGAUGAUAGGAACACUAGCAACCCUGUUGCUGCUACACCUGAGAGUCCAAACGAUGUCUCUGUCUCUGAUGCUGAAACACAAUCUGGUGAUGAACAUGAGCCUGAUGAUAAUAUCAAUAGUAAUGUUCAUGAAGAUGCUCAACCUAGCAAUGAUAAGGAUGUGGAGAUUGAACUUGUUGAUCUUGAUAACCCACAACCUAAGAAUAAGAGGUACGAUAAGAAUGACUUCACUGCUAGGAAGCACGGCAAAGAAAGGGAACCAUGGGUUCAUAAACCCAUGCCCUUUCCUCCCAAACCAUCCAAGAAAAAGGAUGACGAGGAUUUUGAGCGAUUCGUUGAAAUGAUCACACCAAUCUUUCUACAAAUGCGUUUGACAGAUAUGCUCAAAAUGUCUCCAUAUGCUAAGUACAUGAAAGAUAUUGUGACUAAUAAGAGGAGGAUACCUGAGGUUGAGAUUUCCACCAUGCUUGCUAAUUAUACCUUCAAGGGUGGAACUCCUAAGAAACUAGGUGAUCCCGGUGUGCCCACUAUACCUUGCUCCAUUAAAGGCAACUACGUUAGAACUGCUUUAUGUGACCUUGGAGCUAGUGUUAGUGUUAUGCCUCUGUCUCUUUAUCGUAGACUUGAGCUGGAUAAGUUGACACCCACUGAAAUCUCUCUGCAAAUGGCCGACAAAUCAACUGCUUUCCCUAUCAGCAUUUGCGAGGAUGUGCAUGUUGUGGUUGCUAAUGUCAAUAUCUUAAUAGACUUUGUUAUCUUGGAUAUUCCUGAGGACGAUGCCAUGGCAGUCAUCCUCGGAAGACCCUUUUUAAACACUGCAGGGGCUGUUAAUAUUGCAACAAAGGCAAUGUCACUUUCCAACGGUAAUGAGCAUACGGUGCACUUUCCGAAGAAACAAUAUCGAGUACAUUGCAUCAAUGCUAUCGAAAAAACUUCAUCGAUUCUUAUUGGGAGCUUUGAAUGCUCUAUUCCUCGUGUCAAGAUGAAGUAUGAUUUGCUUGUUGGGGAGAUACAUAUCCCCAUUGAGGUGACCUAGUGACUAUUCAAAAAUUCUCCGUUCUCUUUUGCGAUUCGAAAAGGUUUGGCAAAGAGACUUGAUCAACCUCAUUGACAGAUUUUCUCUCGAUGACCAUGAGAUGGAUGAAUCGAGGAGUCACAAACCUCUGUUCCAAGCUUUCACUUUAGGUUGCUUAGAAGAAAAAUGAUAGGUUUAGUUUAGUUUUCCCUGUUUCUUGUUUUAGCGUCCGGUAGAAAAGUACCCCAAAAAUAAAAGUUCUCCGAACGGCGUGAAAAUCAAGUAUGAUUUUUUCUGCAAUUUUUGAAAAGUUCUGAGACGAAGAGCUUGUCUAGGGGCUGCACCAGUGGGCCACAAGCCCUGACGGCACGGGCACCCCCUGGCCGCGCCACCCAGUCUUGUGGGGCCCGUAGGCACCCCCUCCACUCAUUCUUGCUCUCAUCUGGUUCUCCUACCUCCAGAAAAAAUCGUUUCGCAGCUCAAACCCGUGUUCUUGCUCCUCUUGCUGGGAUUUUCGAUCUCUUUGCUCAAAUCACCGUUCUCCGAACUGUUUUGGGGAAAUUACUCCUUCGUUAGUGACUCCUCCAUUGGUCCAAUUAGUUUUUGCUCGAGUGCCUUAUACUCCGCGUAUUUUUGCUGCCUUGGUGACCAUGUCCUUGAGCUUUGCAUGCUGAUUUUAGCUGGUCCCAAGUAGUUUUGAUGCGUAAUAUGGCCUCUAGAUACUUGUGGGAGUAGUUGCUAUGAGUUUAGUUGGUCCCUAUUCACUUUUCCUUAGAAUCACUAAAAAAUUUAGAAAUUUUCAGAGAUAGGGAAAGGAAAGAUGAGAAGGUUCUUAAGAGGCUCUUCAAGCCGUGGCCCCAAGGACGAUGGAAGUGAGAAGAAGUCCAAGUAUCUGGUCCCUCGAGUCAUAGAAGUUCGAGCGUGCGAGUGGCCAAGCGACAUGUUCUUACGCGUCGCUGGAAUUUAUGAGGACUUUUAUCACUUGGUGGAAAACGCAGGCCUUACCGCCUUCUUUGAAGAUAAGUGCCCGCAAUACCUCCUCCUCACUAAUAUCUUCGUAAAAAGCUUUAACUUCUAUCCGAGGAAGAAUCCUCCUAUGAUUGAGUUCAAACUUUAUGAUAUCCCCCAGCGCAUGUCACUCCAGGAUUUUUGCAAUGUCUGCAAAUUACCUUACGUUGGGGAUAUUCAUGAACCUCGUCCACGGGACUUGGAGGCUUUCAUCGAUACAAUUGCUGUAAGAGAGGAGAGAGGAGUUGCUUGCGCUAGAGCUGCUAGCAUUCAUUUUCCUAUGCUUCGGUACUUCUCACUUUUUGUGGGAAAAUGUUUGAUUGGCUGUGGGAAAGCUGGGUCACUUAGUUCCCCAGAUCUUGCGGUCUUGGGCGAAGCCCUUUAUAACGAUAAAACUUAUAGCUUGGGCACUAUAGUAGCUCAACGGUUGAACCUGAACCAUUCUAAAGGUGUUGUCUAUGGAGGUAUCUAUGCUACCCAUCUUGGCAGACACUUUGAGAUACCCAUUAGACUGGAGGAGGAAGAAGAGGUUCUUCUUCCCGAGAGAUAUCUAGAUUACGAUAGCAUUGUUCGCCAUGACUUUCUUAAUAGAGAUAUAAAAAUAAGGAUGAUUUAUAACCUGGUAUUUAGUCAGGGUACUCGUGAGACUAUUACUUUGCCUGCUCCUUCUUUGUUCAAUCUUCAUGCACGCAGGUACAUUAUUAUGCCCUCGGACAUCCAGGCAUAUUGGGGUUUAGCCCAACCACAUGUGCCCAUGCCCGAGCCGCCAGUCGAGUACCAAACGCCGGUUUAUCACUGGGAGCGAGAGGAGCUCACACAACAGUGGCAUCCUCAGUCCGCUCCGUAGUACCCCGGAGCUGGUUAUUUCCCUCCUUGGGAAUAGACCAACUUAGGCCAAAAGCCUAAGCUUGGGGGGAGUACGUGUUUCUCACUGACUUUACAUUCUUGCUUAUGCUUUCACUUUGUUAGCCGGUGUCCACACUUUGCCACUGUAUCAUCCAUGCUAGUUUAUUUUCUUUUUCUCAUUUUAUUUUCGUGUGUCUAUCUAGUUUGAGAAAACCCAAAAAGAUUUUCUUUUUCUUCUUUUUCUUGUUGGGAGCUUUCCCGUGUAAAUAGUUUUCUUUUUCUUUGGGUCAAGGUAGAAGAUAUUGGUUACAAUGUUUAGUGGCUCUUGCAUGCAUACCUGUUUAGCUUUCAUAGAGCCAUAUUACUUUGUCUUCUCCUUUGUGUUUGCCUGCAGAUUCCAGCAUAGUCCAAUGCAUGAAUACUCUUAUUAUUGUCCACAUCGUUCGAUCGUUCAAGUGAAAGGCAAUAAUGAUGAUAUAUGAUGAAGUGACUGAGCCUGGAAAAUAUGGUAUGAACUCGAUCUAUAUUGUUUUUGUAAAUAUGACUAGCUCAUUGUGCCUGAUUCAACUUUGUUGUGAGAGAAACAUGUUUGCAAUGACAACUUAGAGAUCAUAGUUGCUUAUGCCAUGCUUACUUAGCUAGGAGCUUAUAAUGGUUUGUCUUGGAUGCCCACAUGAAUGUUGAGAUGACUGUGUUGUAGUAUGAUAGGAUGGUAUCUUCCUUUGAAUGUUUCAAGUGGCUUGACUUGGCGCAUGUUCACGCAUGUAGUUGAAACAAAAUCAACAUAGCCUCUAUGAUGUUCAUGUUCAUGGUGAUUUAUGUCCUACUCAUGCUUGCACUCAAUGUUAGUUAAUCUCAAUGCAUUUUGAUGACUGUUGUCGCUCUCUAGUUGGUCGCUUCCCAAAGUUGUUCCAUAUGAGUCCACCAUACCUACCUAUGUGCGGUAUCUGCCUGCCGUUCCAAGUAAAUUUGCAUUUGCCACUCUCUAAAUCUUCAAGAAAUAAUCUGUUUUGCAUGCCCGAACCGCUCAUGUGGUGACACGGGGCUAUUGAUAUCUUCCAUGCUAGGCGCGUUAUCCUCGAUAGGUGUUUAUUCACUAUCAUUCACGAGAAAGGGGCCGGUAAUUGGAAUUCCCAGUUCCAUGCUCAAAUCGAAAAGAUAAUUGCAAACAAAACUCCCCCAGGAUUGAUGUUGGUAUGGACGGAGUGUGAUUGAUUGGUGGUGGGGGAGUCAAAACUUUACUUUUCUGUUUGGGAACCGCCUAUAGCAUGUGUAGCAUGGAAGAUGUUGAGAACUCUUAGUCAUUGCGUUGACAAUAAAAGCAUGCCACCCAAAAUUAUUAUCUCUGUUUUCAAAGCCUCAGCUCUAGCACCUAUACAAAUAAAUGCUUCCCUCUGCGAAGGGUCUGUCUAUUUAUGUUCCUGUUGAGUCAUCCUCCUCUUACAAAAGCACCAAUUAGAGAGCAACUCUGUCGUUUUUAUGCUUUUAACUGUGUUGAGUAUGACUGGAUCUUCUUUCCCAUGAAUUACAAUGUUUAGUCAGCCCUUGGUCUUUGAAGGUGCUCUGCAUUUAUGUUUUGCGGUAUCAGAAAGAGCUAGCGAGAUACCACCUGUUCGUACUGCUUCAUGUUGUUUUGAUUUAAGUGUUGACAUUAGAGGCUUAUUAUUAUUUGCUCGCUAGCUGAUUAUGUCAUUGAUAUGAGUUUGCCGUGAGACCUAGAUGUCAUUUUCUUAUAUGGUUUGCUUGUGAUCUUGCCAAAAUUCUGGUUAUGAGUUAGACAUAGUUGCAACAACAAGAUCAAAUAGAGUUCAUCAAAGUUUUUAUUUUGUCUCUUUCAGUUUUUCAACUGAAUUGCUUGAGCACAAGCAAGGCUUUAAGCUUGGGAUCAUUGAUACGUCUCUAUUGUAUCUACUUUUCCGAACUCUUUUGCCCUUGUUUUGGACUCUAAUUUGCAUGAUUUGAACGAAACAAACCCGGACUAACGCUGUUUUCAGCAGAAUUGCCAUGGUGUUGUUUUUGUGCAGAAAUAAAACUUCUCGGCAUGACCUGAAAAUUUACGGAGAAUGUUUCUGGAAUUAAAGAAAAAUACCUGCGCAAAGAUCCACCAGAGGGGGUAAACCAGUGGGCCACAAGCCCACUGACCGCGGCCACCCCCCAGGCCGCGCCGUGAGGGCUUGUGGGGCCCACGAGGCUCCACCGCCUCCAAACUCAGCUCUAUAUAUUCUGUUUCGCCCGGAAAAAAUCAGAGAGAAGGAUUCAUCGCGUUUUACAAUACGGAGGCGCUGCCACCUCCUGUUCUUCAUCUGGAGGGCAGAUCUGGAGUUCGUUCUGGGCUCCGGAGGGGGAAAAUCGUCACCAUUAUCAUCAUCAACCUUCCUCCAUCGACAAUUCCAUGAUGCUCUUCACCGUUCGUGAGUAAUCUCAUUGUAGGCUUGUUGGAAUGUGAUGAGUUGGAUGAGAUCUAUCAUGUAAUCGAGUUAGUUUUGAUGGGGAUUGAUCCCUAGUAUCCACUAUGUUCUGAGAUUGAUGUUGCUACUACUUUGCCAUUCUUAAUGCUUGUCACUAGNNNNNNNNNNNNNNNNNNNNNNNNNNNNNNNNNNNNNNNNNNNNNNNNNNNNNNNNNNNNNNNNNNNNNNNNNNNNNNNNNNNNNNNNNNNNNNNNNNNNNNNNNNNNNNNNNNNNNNNNNNNNNNNNNNNNNNNNNNNNNNNNNNNNNNNNNNNNNNNNNNNNNNNNNNNNNNNNNNNNNNNNNNNNNNNNNNNNNNNNNNNNNNNNNNNNNNNNNNNNNNNNNNNNNNNNNNNNNNNNNNNNNNNNNNNNNNNNNNNNNNNNNNNNNNNNNNNNNNNNNNNNNNNNNNNNNNNNNNNNUGUGUUAUGACCCGGCAAACCCGGAGUGACAAUAGCCAGAACCACUCCCGGAGAUGACCAUAGUAUGAUGAGUUCAUGUAUUCACCAAGUGUUAAUGCGUUGGUCCGGUUCUUUAUUAAAAGGAGAACCUUAAUAUCCCGUAGUUUCCAUUAGGACCCCGCUGCCACGGGAGGGAUGGACAAUAGAUGUCAUGCAAGUUCUUUUCCCUAAGCACGUAUGACUACAUACGGAAUAAAUGCCUACAUCAGAUUGACGAACGGGAGCUAGUUACAUAUCUGUCCGUGUUAUAGCUGUUACAUGAUGAAUCACAUCCGGCAUACUCAUCUAUCACCGAUCCACUGCCUACGAGUCUUUUACUACUGGUUCUUGCUAUGUUACUUUGCCGCUACUGCUGUUAGUGCUGAUGUCAUUGCUACUGUCACUACUGCUGUUACUUGCUACUUUGCUUUUACUUGCCGCAACACUUUUUUGGCGCCAUUGAUACAACAAGUUAGGAAUAGUCUGCCGUCAACAGACCUUUUCUGGCACAGUUGCUAUCAUACAACUUUGCUAUUCAUACUUUGCCUGGAGACACUAAUCUUUCAGGUGUGGUUGAAUCGACAACUCAGCUGCUAAUACUUGAGAAUAUUCUUUCGCUUCCCUUUGUGUCGAAUCAAUAAAUUUGGGUUGAAAACUCUACCCUCGGAAACUGUUGCGAUCCCCUACACUUGUGGGUUAUCAAUCAUGUUAUCACACAACUGGUUAACAGUUAUGUUUUGGAAGUUCAUGCAUUGAAAAUGAAAGUGGCACUCUAUAUCACAAAGUUCACAAGUAAAAGGAGAAAGGUCACAUAAUUCUCUAGCAAUUUCAUUUAAAUCUCUAACCCAAGUGAUUGUUCUUUCAUGGUUAUGUUGCUUACAAUACUUCUCUUCUUCAAUCAUAGGCCUUUCACAAGGUCUAUCCACUCCACAAAAAUUAACAUGCUUAUAUAAAACUUCUUUUCCAGGAAUUGGAUCAUGCAUGUUGCAAUUAUCAUUAACAAUUUCAUUUUCUUUGGAAAACUCUUAAAAAAGUUCAUGAUGCUUGAUACAAUUCUCCUUAGGCAUAUUAAGAUGUGAAGCAAUAGAUUUGAGGAAAUCAACAAGGAGGUGAGAAUCAAGCCCAAACUUAGCACUAAACUUAUUAAAACUUGCAGUUUCAACAAAGGCCUUAAUGCAAUCAUACUCAUAAUUUAUACCCGACUCUUUACCUUUGUCGAUCUCCCAAUCUUCAGUAUUGCGGUGAAUUCUUUCAAGGAGUUCCCAUUUAGCAUCAAUCCUUUUGUUUGUGAAGGAACCCAUAGAGGAAGCAUCGAGAAAGUCUUUAUCCUGUCGAGAGAGCCUCGCAUAGAAAAUAGUAAUAAUCAUAUCUUUGGGGAGCCCAUGGUUAGGACAUUUUAGCAUUAAAGUUUUCAGUCUCCCCCAAGCUUGAGCUAUGCUCUCUCCGUCAUGAGGAUAGAAAUUAUAAACAUAAUUCCUAUUCUCAUGGACUUCAUGAAGAGGAUAAAACUUAGAGCAAAAGAGAGACUGGAUCUCUUCCCAAUCCCGUAGGUGAGAAUCAUCUAGUAGCCUAUACCAUUCCAAUGCUUUUCCUUUCAGUGACAAGGCAAAUAAUUUCCUCAUGACUCAAUCUCUCGUCAAACCUGAAAUCUUGAACAACUCACAAAGUUCUAUAAGUUUCAAAAAAUGAAUACUGGGAUUGACUGUUCCAUCUCCUGCAUAACAAUCCUUCCUUAUUAUUUCAAUAAUGUCAAGUGGUAUUUUGAAUGGGUACAUUCAGUAGGUGGAAGAGACUUCUCUGCCACGGGUGUGGUAAAGCAGCCUUCCCCAAGCACCGAACUAAGAGUGUAGUUUUCCAUAAGCCUAACUACUGAAAAUAAAAACGAGAAACAAAAAGAUUUAAUUGCAAGAUCUAAAGAUAUACCUUCAAGCACUCACCUCUCCGACAACGGCGCCCGAAAUAGCUUGAUGUCUACACACGCUUCUAUUCUUGUAGACUAUGUUGGGCCUCCAAGCGCAGAGGUUGUUGGAAAUAUGCCCUAGAGGCAAUAAUAAAUUAGUUAUUAUUAUAUUUCCUUGUUCAUAAUAAUCGUUUAUUAUCCAUGCUAGAAUUGUAUUGAUUGGAAAAUCAAAUACAUGUGUGGAUACAUAGACAACACACUGUCCCUAGUGAGCCUCUAGUUGACUAGUUCGUUGAUGAAAGAUGGUCAAGGUUUCCUAGCCAUAGGCUAGUGUUGUCACUUGAUAACGAGGUCACAUCAUUAGGAGAAUCAUGUGAUGGACAAGACCUAAAUUAUAAACGUAGCAUGUGAUCGUGUUAUUUUGUUGCUAUUGUUUUCUGCGUGUCAAGUAUUCAUUCCUAUGACCAUGAGAUCAUGUAACUUACUAGCAUCGAGGAAUACCUUGUGUGUAUCAAACGUCGCAACGUAACUGGGUGACUAUAAAGGUGCUCUACAUGUAUCUCCAAAGGUGUCCGUUGAGUUAGCAUGGAUCAAGACUGGUAUUUGUCACUCUGUGUGACGGAGAGGUAUCUCAGGGCCCACUCUGUAAUACAACAUCACCUAUAAGCCUUGUAAGCAAUGUGACUCAAGUGUGAGUCACGGGGAUCUUGUAUUACGGAACGAGUAAAGAGACUUGCCGGUAACGAGAUUGAAAUAGGUAUAGGGAUACCGACGAUCAAAUCUCGGGCAAGUAACAUACCGAAGGACAAAGGGAAUGUUAUACGGGAUUAUAUGAAUCCUUGGCACAGAGGUUCAACCGAUAAGAUCUUCGUAGAAUAUGUAGGAUCCAAUAUGGGCAUACAUGUUUCUAUUGGAUAUUGACCAAGGAGUGUCUCGGGUCAUGUCUAUGUAGUUCUCGAACCCGCAAGGUCUGCACACUUAAGGUUCGAUGGUGUUUUAGUGUAGUUGAGUUAUAUGUGUUGGUGACUGAAGGUUGUUCGGAGUUCCCGGAUGAGAUCACGGAUGUCACUAGGGUUUCCGGAAUGGUCUGGAAACAUAGAUUGAUAUAUAGGAAGUUGGUGUUUGGAUUCAGGAAGUGUUUGGGCAUUCCUGGCAGUGUACUGGGAGUGACGAAUGUGUUCCGGAGGCCCACUGGUUGGGCCCACAAUGCCCCAAUGGGUCCAGGUGGGUUUAUUGGUUGUACAAUAAGGUAUAAUGGGCUGACAAAGUCAUCCAAGUAAAGCCCAUGAGGAAAAAGUGGAAAAUCCAAAAGAGGUGGGAAAAUAAGGAAGGAGUCCUAAUCCAAGUGGGAUUGGAGAAGGACUCCUCCCUUUCUCCCACUUCGGCCAACCCAAGGAGGACUCCUUGGUACCCCAAGACUAACUAGGGCUGCCUCUCCCCUACUCCAAUAUAUAUAGAGGUUUAGGGCUUUUGAGACACAACUUUGCCACGUGCAACUCAAACCUACACCUCGUAGUUCUUCCUCUAUAUUAGAUUUUUGCGAAGCUCGGGCGGAGCCCUGCAGGAAUAGUUCAUCAACAACUCUGGCGCGCCGUCACGCUGCCGUAGAACUCAUCUAAUUCUCCGUCUCUCUUGCUGGAUGAAUAAAUCCGAGAUCGUCAUCGAGUUGUACGUGUGCUGAACGCGGAGGUGCCGUCCGUUCGACGCUAGAUCGGGAUGGAUCGUGGGACAGAUCGCGAGACGGUUCGUGGGAUGGAUCGAGGGACGGUUCGUGGGACAGUUCGAGGGACGUGAAUACGUUCCACUACAUCCACCACAUUUCUUAACGCUUCCCAUUGUGCGAUCUACAAGGUUACGUAGAUCUAAUCUCUACUCGUAGAUGGACAUCACCAUGAUAGGUCUUCGUGUGCGUAGGAAUUUUUUUUGUUUCCCAUGCAGCGUUCCCCAACAGUGGCAUCAUGAGCUAGGUUCAAGCAUAGAUGUUAUCUGGAGUAGAACACAAAAGGUUUUGUGGACGCCGAUAUUCGAUUUUCUGCCCUCCUUAGCCUUUUCUCGAUUCGGCGUAUUGUUGGAUUGAAGAGGCCCGGACCGACAUAACUCGUACGCUUACGAGAGAUUGGUUUCAUCGAUUGACAUGCAACCUCAUUGCAUAAAUAUGAAUGGCGGGUGCCUGUUUCUUCAACUUUAGUUGAAUUUGUUUUGACCGAGGCGGUCCUUGGAGAUGUUAAAUAGCAAUUUGCACAUCUCCGUUGUGGUUUUUGCGUAAGUAAGAUGCGAUCAUACUAGAUACCCUUAGCAGCCACGUAAGUCAUGCAACAACAAAUUAGAGGACGUCUAACUUGUUUUUGUAGUGCUUGUGAUAUGAUAUGGCCAAAGAUGUGAUGUGAUAUAUUGGAUGUAUGAGAUGAUCAUGUUGUAAUAGUUAAUAUCGACUUGCACGUCGAUGCUACGACAACCGACAGGAGCCAUAGGGUUGUCUUUAAACUAACGUUUGUGUUUGUAGAUGUGUUUACUAUAUUGCUAGGUCGUAGCUUUAGUAGUAAUAGCAUAGAUAGCAUGACAACCUCAAUGGCGGCACGAUGAUGGAGAUCAUGGUGUGGCGCCGAUGACAAGAAGAUCAUGCCGGUGCUUUGGUGAUGGGGAUCAAGAAGCACGAGAUGAUGACCAUAUCAUGUCACUUAUGAAUUGCAUGUGAUGUUAAUCCUUUUAUGCACCUUAUUUUGCUUAGAACGACAGUAGCAUUAUAAGGUGAUCACUCACCAAAAUUUCAAGAUGAAAUUGUGUUCUCCCCGACUAUGCACCACGUGAUAGUUUGUCGUUUCGAGACACCACGUGAUGAUCGGGUGUGAUAGACUCAACAUCCACAUACAACGGGUGCAAAACAGUUGCACGCGCGGAACACUCGGGUUAAACUUGACGAGCCUAGCAUGUGCAGACAUGGCCUCGGAACAUAUGAGACCGAAAGGUCGAGCUUGAAUCAUAUAGUUGAUAUGAUUAGUAUAGAGAUGCUUACCAUUGAAACUAUUCUGAACUCACAUCAUGACCGGACUUGAGUUAGUGAAUUUGGAUCAUGUACCACUCAAAUGACUAGAGAGAUGUAUUUUUUGAGUCGGAGUUCUUAAGUAAUAUGAUUAAUUGAACUAAUUAUCAUGAACAUAGCUAAAAGGUCUUUCCGAAUUAUGAUGUAGUGUGCGCUAUAGCUUUACUGUUUUUUAUAUGUGCCUAGAGAAAAUUUAGUUGAAAGAUGAUAGUAGCAACUUUGCGGACUAAGACCGUGAAACUGAGGAUUGUCCUCAUUGCUGCGCAGAAGUCUUAUGUCCUUAAUGCACCACUCAGUGUGCUGCACCUCGAGCGUCGUCUGUGGAUGUUGCGAACAUCUGACAUACACGUUUUUGAUGACUACGUGAUAGUUCAGUGCGUAAUACUUAAUGGAUUAGAAGCAAGGCGCCGAAGACGUUUUGAAACGUCACGGAACAUAAGAGAUGUUCUAAGAGAUGAAAUUGAGAUUUCAUGCUCGUGCCCUUGUUGAGAGGUAUGAGACCUCCCACAAGAUUCUUUGUCUACAAAGUAAAGGAGAAAAGCUCAAAUCGUUGAGCAUGUUCUCAGAUUGUCUGAGUACAACAAUCGCUUGAAUCAAGUGGGAGUUAAUCUUCCAGAUGAGAUAGUGAUGGUUCUCCAAAGUCACUUCCACUAAGCUGCUAGAGGUUCUUGAUGAACUAGAACAUAUCAAGGAUAGAUAUGAUAAUCCUUGAGCGAUUCCAAUGUUUGACACUUCGGAAGUAGAAAUCAAGAAGGAGCAUCAAUAGUUGAUGGUUAGUAAAACCACUAGUUUCAAGAAUGGCAAGUGCUAGAAGGGACACUUCAUGAAACGACAAACCAGUUGCUGCUCUAAUGAAGAAGCCCAAGAUUGAACCCAAACUAGAGACUAAGUGCUUCUGUUAUGAGGGGAACGAUCACUGAGGCGGAGCUACCCUAGAUACUUGGUAGAUGAGAAGGCUGGCGAAGUCAACAAAAGUAUAUUUGAUAUACAUGAUGUGUACUUUACUAGUACUCCUAGUAGCACGAGGGUAUUAGAUACCGGUUCGAUUGCUAAGUGAUUAGUAACUCAAAAUAAAAGCUAUGGAAUAAACGGAGACUAGCUAAAGGCGAGGUGACGAUACGUGUUGGAAGUGUUUCCAAGGUUGAUGUGAUCAAACAUUGCAUGCUCCCUCUACUAUCGGAAUUGGUGUUAAACCUAAAUAAUGAUAGUACCACUUACUUGAGGCACUGCCAAUUGAGUCAUGUUGGUGUAAAAUGAUAGUACCACUUACUUGAGGCAGUGCCAAUUGAGUCAUGUUGGUGUAAAAUGCAUGAAGAAGCUCCAUGCCGAUGGAUUUUUGUACUCACUCAUUUUUGAAACGUUUGAGACAUGCAAACCAUACCUGUUGGUAUACACGCAUGAAGAAACUCCAUGCGGAUGGAUUGUUUGGAAUCACUUGAUUUUGAAUCACUUGAGACAUGCAAAAUGAUACCACAUGGAGCAAGAGAGUAACUUGUUGGAAGUAAUACAUUUUUUAUGUGUGCAGUCCAAUAAGUGCUGAGGCACGCAGUGGAUAUCAUUAUGUUCUCACUUCACUAAUGACUUGAGUAGACACAGGAGUAUUUACUUGAUGAAUCACAAAUCUGAAAUAUUGAAAAGUUCAAGGCUAUUUCAGAGUGAAGAUCGUCGUGACAAGAGGAUAAAACUGUCUACGAUAUGAUCAUAGAGAUGAAUAUCUGAGUUGCGAGUUUUGGUACACAGUUGACACAAUGAGGAAAUUGUUUUCGCAAUUCAUGCCACCUGGAACAUCAUAGUGUGAUGGUGUGUCAGAACGUCAUAGCCGCGCCCUAUUUGAUAUGGUGCAUACUAUGAUGUCUCUUAUCGAAUCAGCACUAUCGUUUAUGGGUUAGGCAUUAGAGACAACCGCAUUCACUUUAAAUAGGGCACCACGUAUUUUCGUUGAGAAGACACAAUAUAGACUAUGGUUUGGAGAAACCUAAGCUGUCGUUUCUUGAAAGUUUGGUGCUGCGACACUUAUUUGAAAAAAUUUCAGUCUGAUAAGCUCGAACUCAAAGUGGAUAAAAACAUCUUCAUAGGAUAUCCAAGACAGUUGGAUACAUCUCCUAUCUCAGAUCCGGAAGCAAAGUGUUUGUUUCUAGAAACGGGUCCUUUCUCGAGGAAAGGUUUCUGUCAAUAUAAUUGAGUGGGAGGGUGGUGGAACUUGAUGAGGUUAGUGAACCGUCACUUCAAACAGUGUGUAGCAGGGCACAGGAAGAUGUUCCUGUGGCGCCUACACAAAUUGAAGUGGAACUGAUGAUGGUGAUCAUUAAGCUUCGGAUCAAGUUACUACAAACCUCGUAGGUCGACAAGGUCGCGUACUACUACGGAGUGGUACGGUAACCCUGUCUUGGAGGUCAUGUUGUUGGACAACAAUGAACCUACGAGCUAUGAAGAAGCGAUGGUGGGCCCGGAUUCCGAGAAAUGGCUGGAGGCCAUGAAAUCCGAGAGAGGAUCCAUGUAUGAAGACAAAGUGUAGACUUUGAAAGAACUACUUGAUGGUCGUAGGACUAUUAAGUAAAGAUGGAUCUUUAAAAUAAAGACAAACGAUGAUGGUGAAUAGUCACCAUUAAGAAAAGCUCGAUUUGUCGCGAAGAUGUUUCCAACAAGUUCAAAGAGUUGACUAUGAUGAGACUUUCUCAAUCGUAGCAAUGCUAAACGUCUGUUGGAAUUAGGUUAGUAGUUGCUGCAUUAUUUAUGAAAUAUUGCACAUAGGAUGUCAAAACAUUGUUUCCUCGACGUUUUCCUGGAGGAAAGGUUGUAUGUGAUACAACCAGAAGGUUUUUUCGAUCCUAAGGAUGCUAACAAGUGUGCAAGCUCCAUCGAUCCUUCUAUGUACUAGUGCAGGCAUCUCGGAGUUGGAAUGUACACUUUGAUGAUAUGAUCAAAGCUUUUAGGUUUGUACAAGGUUUAUGAGAAACUUGUAUUUCCAAAUAAGUGAGUGGGAGCACUAUAGAAUUUCUGAUAAGUAUAUGUGGUUGACAUAUUGUUGAUCAGAAGUAAUGUAGAAUUUCUGUAAAGCAUAAAGGUUGUUUGAAAGGGGUUUUUCACAGGAAUACCUGGAAAGAGCUACUUGAACAAUGAGCUUCAAGAUCUAUGGAGAUAGAUCAAAAUGCUAAAUAGAACUUUUAAAUGAAAUGCAUGCCUUGACAAGUUUUUGAAGGAGUUCAAAAUAGAUUAGCAAAGAAGGAGUUGUUGGUUGUGUUGUAAGGUGUGAAUUUGAGAAGAAGGAGAAAGGACGAAGGUCGUCCGCUUUUCCUUAGCCGCAGACUCUAAAGUAUGCCAUGAUGUGUGCCCCACCUGAUGUGUGCCUUACCACAAGUCUGUUAAGAGGUAUAGAGAGUGAUACAUGAUUGAAUCACCGAACAACGGUCAAAGUUAUCCUUAGUAACUAAUGGACUAAGGAAUUUUUCUCGAUUAUGGAGGUGGUUAAAGAGUUCGUCGUAAAGGGCUACGUCGAUGCAAGCUUUUACACUAAUUCGAAUAACUAUGAGUAGUAAAACGGAUUCGUAUAGUAGAGUAGAUAUUUGGAGUAUUGCCGAAUAGCACGCAGUAGCAACAUCUAUAAUAUGACAUAAAGAUUUGUAAAUCAUACACAGAUCUGAAAGAUUUAGAACCGUUGACUAAAACCUCUCUCACGAGCAAGACGUGAUCAAACCCUAGAACUAUAUGGUUGUUGUAUUCGUUAAAAUCACAUGGUGAUGUGAACUAGAUUAUUGACUCUAGUGCAAGUGGGAGACUGUUGGAAAUAUGCCAUAGAGGCAAUAAUAAAUUAGUUAUUAUUAUAUUUCCUUGUUCAUAAUAAUCGUUUAUUAUCCAUGCUAGAAUUGUAUUGAUUGGAAACUCAAAUACAUGUCUGGAUACAUAGACAACACACUGUCCCUAUUGAGCUUCUAGUUGACUAGUUCGUUGAUAAAAGAUGGUCAAGGAUUCCUGGCCAUAGGCAAGUGUUGUCACUUGAUAACGGGAUCACAUCAUUAGGAGAAACAUGUGAUGGACAAGACCCAAAUUAUAAACGUAUCAUGUGAUCGUGUUAUUUUGUUGCUAUUGUUUUCUGCUGUCAAGUAUUCAUUCCUAUGACCAUGAGAUCAUGUAACUUACUGGCACCAGAGGAAUACCUUGUGUGUAUCAAACGUCGCAACGUAACUGGGUGACUAUAAAGGUGCUCUACAGGUAUCUCCGAAGGUGUCCGUUGAGUUAGCAUGGAUCAAGACUGGGAUUUUUCACUCCGUAUGACGGAGAGGUAUCUUGGGUCCCACUCGGUAAUACAACAUCACAUAUAAGCCUUGCAAGCAGUGUGAAUUAAGUGUGAGUCACGGGGAUCUUGUAUUACGGAACAAGUAAAGAUACUUGCCGAUAACGAGAUUGAAAUAGGUAUAGGGAUACCGACGAUCAAAUCUCGGGCAAGUAACAUACCGAAGGACAAAGGGAAUGUUAUACGGAAUUAUAUGAAUCCUUGGCAUAGAGGUUCAAUCGAUAAGAUCUUCGUAGAAUAUGUAGGAUCCAAUAUGGGCAUCCAGGUCCCGUUAUUGGAUAUUGACUGAGGAGUGUCUCGGGUCAUGUCUACAUAGUUCUCGAACCAGCAGGGUCUGCACACUUAAGGUUCGAUGGUGUUUUAGUGUAGUUGAGUUAUAUGUGUUGGUGACAGAAGGUUAUUAGGAGUCCCGGAUGAGAUGACAGAUGUCACGAGGGUUUCUCGAAUGGUCCGGAAACAAAGAUUGAUAUAUAGGAAGUUGGUGUUUGGAUUCCAGAAAGUUUUUGGGCAUUGCCGACAGUGUACCGGGAGUGACGAAUGGGUUCUGGGGGCCCACUGGGUGGGCCCACCACGCCCCAAGGAGUCCACGUGGGUUUAUUGGAUGUACAAUAAGGUAUAAUUGGCUGACAAAGUCAUCCAUGGAAACCCCAUGAGGAAAAGUGGAAAAUCCAAAAGAGGUGGGAAAAUAAGGAAGGAGUCCUAAUCCAAGUGGGAUUGGAGAAGGACUCCUCCCUCUCUCCCACUACGGCCAACCCAGGGAGGACUCCUUGGUGCGCCAAGACUACCUAGGGCUGCCUAUCCCCUCCUCCUAUAUAUACUAGAGGUUUAGGGAUUUUGAGACACAACUUUGCCACAUGCAGCUCAAACCUACACCUCGUAGUUCUUACUUUAGAUUAGAUUUCUGCGGAGCUCGGGCGGAACCCUGCAGGAAUAGUUCAUCACCAACACAGGCGCGCCAUCACGCUGCCGGAGAACUCAUCUACUUAUCCGUCUCUCUUACUGGAUCAAGAAGGCCGAGAUCGUCAUCGAGCUAUACGUGUGCUGAACGCGGAGGUGCCGUCCGUUUGGCGCUAGAUCGGGAUGGAUCGUGGGACGGAUCGAGGGACGGUUCGUGGGACGGUUCGAGGGACGUGAAGAUGUUCCACUGCAUCAACCGCGUUUCUUAACGCUUCCCGCUGUGCGAUCUACAAGGGUAGGUAGAUCUAAUCUUCACUCGUAGAUGGACAUCACCAUGAUAAGUCUUCGUGUGCGUAGGAAGUUUUUUGUUUCCCAUGCAGCGUUCCCCAACAGAGGUUUGUAGGACAACAACAAUUUCCACCAAGUGGAUGACAUAAGGUUUAUCAAACUCAGGGAAGUAGAGGUUGAAGAUGGUCUCUCUCAAGCAACCCAACAAUUAAGAUACAAGAAGUCUCUUGUGUCCCCAACACACCUAAUACAGUUAUCAGUUGUAUAGGUGCACUAGUUCGGUGAAGAGAUGGUAAAAUAUGGAUGAUAGGUGUGGCAAAGCAAGGUAAUAUAAAUCUGAAAUAAAAAUGGCAGCAAGGUAGCAAGUGAAAAAAGUGAGCAUAAACGGUGUAACAAUGGUGAGAAACAGGGCCUAGGCUUCAUACUUUCACUAGUGGCAAUUCCCAACAACAUUAACAUUGUGUAAUGACAUGACAUUUCCACUAAAACAUGCAAUGGAGACGUACUUGGAGGUCAUUCUUUUGUGAUCAAGAGAGGACGAGAAUUAUGUACGGCUACAAAAGCACACCUCAGAAUUCGUAGUUCUCUCUAUGGAUUUCCCAAUGUCACCGCGGCCAUCCAAAGAGAGUACCACAAUCACCACAACGUAUCUCAAGGAUACUCAAAGACAAGCACCAAGAGACUCUCAAUCUUCAAUCAAUUCACAAAAGAGGAAAUCACUCAUGAAAAUAUUCUUCUAAUCCAUGUCCCAUAGCCCGCUGUCACCAUGAUCUCGGGGAUUAUACUAGAUAAGAUAAAGUGAGUACAUCAAUCCAAUACAUAGAAGAAGGGGAAACAUCAUCGGAUCAUCCUAGAUUAAUAGAGCCCAUGAUCACAAUCAAGAUCACAUCAUUAGAUAGAGAAUUAACCACAUAGCUACUGUAGAAGACCUCAGCCCCAAGGAGGAACUACUCCUGCUUCAUGGAGUGAGGAUGCAACGUCGAUGGAGAUGAAUCUGGGGGCACUUCCCCAUCCCGGUAGGGUGCCGGCACAUGAAUUCUGGUCCCCUGAAACUUGUUAGUGAUGGCGGCGGAGAUCGGAAUUGCCUAGAGAAAAGGGUUCCGGAAUCAGCAUUUCCUCCACGGGGUAAAAAUAGGAGUCAAAGUAGGGCACCACAGGAGGUGGGCCCCACGCAGGCGGCCUCCUGGCAUGGCCUAGGGCCUGGCCGCGCCAGCAGGUCGCCUGGACGGCCCCGGGCCCCCUCUGGCCCAUCUUUCUUGAUCUGGAAGCUUCUGUUUCGCUGAUUUUUUAUAUAUUUUUCCUGGAAUUUUUCAGGCUUUGGAAAAUUGGGCAAAACCCAUCGAAAUAGACAUCAGCAGACAGAAACUGGCAUUGGGUGCACUGAGUUAGUAGGUUAGUCCAAAUAUGUGUAAAAUGAUAUAAAAGUGUAGCAAAACAUAUAACAAUGUCACCCAAAAGAUCACGGAACAAGCGGAAAUUAUUGAUAUGUUUGGGGCGUAUCAACACCCCCCUGCAAAACAAGACAUAUCACCAUGUUCCUCACUCUGUUGCUAUGUUAUUAGUUUUCAUGAAUAAUUUGGACAUGUACUAUAACUUACUUCGCUCACAUCGUCCUUAUCAUUGUCAUCAUCCUCAUCAUUGUCAUCAUCUAAAGUUCUCGACUUAGUGUCACCAUCGUUAUUUCUCUAUGCAGAUUCAAAAGUGUAAGUGAUACAAUUUGUAUGCUAGUAAUUAUACAACAUAUUUGAAAAGUACCUGGGUUCGACUUUAAGCAUAUGAUUGUUCAUCAAUAUCGUAAUCGUCAUUGUCAUCAUUAGCAUGCACCUAUUUAAAUUCAAUAGCAACUACAAGUCUCAAUGUAUUAGCUUAUAUUCCAUAAUUUGUAGUCCACGUCCACAACACUUACAUUACCACUAUAUGAUUCAUUCUGACUUCGGUACGGAUGGUCUUUACACAUUGUAUUCUACUUUUAAAUACCAAUAUAGCAUGGAGAAGGACUUGAGUACAAGCCCCCCUAAACGUAUAAGGGCAGUAUGGUCUUUACACAUUGUGUACGGUAUGUGUCGCCCGCCUGCCUGCAUGAUCUUCACGUACGCCACGUCAGUCCACGCAUCGGCGGUUGGUUUGGAAGAAAAAAAACGGAUACAAACCCUAUCUUCUCUCUCCACCGCCACCGUGACUCCACCCCGCACGUCUCCGCNNNNNNNNNNNNNNNNNNNNNNNNNNNNNNNNNNNNNNNNNNNNNNNNNNNNNNNNNNNNNNNNNNNNNNNNNNNNNNNNNNNNNNNNNNNNNNNNNNNNNNNNNNNNNNNNNNNNNNNNNNNNNNNNNNNNNNNNNNNNNNNNNNNNNNNNNNNNNNNNNNNNNNNNNNNNNNNNNNNNNNNNNNNNNNNNNNNNNNNNNNNNNNNNNNNNNNNNNNNNNNNNNNNNNNNNNNNNNNNNNNNNNNNNNNNNNNNNNNNNNNNNNNNNNNNNNNNNNNNNNNNNNNNNNNNNNNNNNNNNNNNNNNNNNNNNNNNNNNNNNNNNNNNNNNNNNNNNNNNNNNNNNNNNNNNNNNNNNNNNNNNNNNNNNNNNNNNNNNNNNNNNNNNNNNCACGACAUUGUAGCCACCGAUGCAUCGACAUCGGACACGACGAAUGAUGUUGUUGAACCCUUUGAAGACCGACGGUAAGUUUUUUUCCAUUUAAUCCAUACGAUUUUUCAUGAUUUCAUUGUAUGCUUUAUGUUCUGGUGUUGUGACAUUGAUAAAACACCUUUUGAAAGGUUUAUUGUUAGAGCAAGACACCGAAUAUGCCGGCGAUGACUCUGGUAGUGAGAAUGACUCAUCGUCAUUGAAUGCAAAUAAAUCAAUCGGACACAACUAUAUGAGUCAGGAUGAAUCAUAUAGUGGUANNNNNNNNNNNNNNNNNNNNNNNNNNNNNNNNNNNNNNNNNNNNNNNNNNNNNNNNNNNNNNNNNNNNNNNNNNNNNNNNNNNNNNNNNNNNNNNNNNNNNNNNNNNNNNNNNNNNNNNNNNNNNNNNNNNNNNNNNNNNNNNNNNNNNNNNNNNNNNNNNNNNNNNNNNNNNNNNNNNNNNNNNNNNNNNNNNNNNNNNNNNNNNNNNNNNNNNNNNNNNNNNNNNNNNNNNNAAAUUAUGGAAUAUAAGCUAAUACACUGACACUUACAGUUGCUAUUGAAUUUAAAUAGGUGCAUGCCAAUGAUGACAAUGACGAUUAGGAUAUAGUUGAACAAUCUUAUGCUGAAAGUGGAACCCAGGUACGUUUAAAAUAUGUUGUAUACUUACUAGCAUACAAAUUGUAUUACCACUUACACUUUUGAAUCUGCAUAGAGAAAUACCGAUGGUGACACUAAGCCGAGAACUUUAGAUGAUGACAAUGAUGAGGAUGAUGACAAUGAUGAGGAUGAAGACAAUGAUGAGGACGAUGUGAGCGAAGUAAGUUAUAUUACGUGUUCAAAUUAUUCAUGAAUACUAACAACAUAGAAACACACUGACGAACAUGGUGAUAUGUCUUAUUUUGUAGGGGGUGUUGAUGGUCCUAAUGGGAACGAUGAGCAUGUUGACGAUCUGGAGUUUGACCUUGACAUCGGCUAUGAUGAAUAUCAGCAAGAGUCACUCGAUAGGUAUUUGGAAGUGAUGGCCAAGACAUUCAGGUCAGAGGGAGAGGUGUACACGUUCUACAACUAGUACGCCAAAUAUCGUGGGUUCAGUAUCAGGAGGGACUUGAACAGAUUUGCAAAUGGUUCUUCAAAAGUUUUGCACUUAAGGAGGUAUCUCUGGUCCACGGCAGGAAAACGACACGCCAAAUUUUGUACAAUGGAAGGCCGGACCCGUAGAUCGAGACCGGAGAGUCGAUGCUUGUGUGAAGCCCAUUUAAUAGUGAAGCUUGAUAGAAAGAGUGAACUUUGGUAUGUCAGCAGUUUCUUCGAUGAUCACAACCACGUUCAUGCACGACCGGACAAAGUCCCUUUCCUCCGGUCUCACAAUGUGAUCAAAGAAUUUUAGAAAGCAGAGAUAUUAGCUAUGGCAGGAGCCGGGAUAAGAAAGCACAUUAUUUUUUAUAACUUUGUGAGCAGGUAUGGUUCAUACGCUAAGACAGGGUUUGGAAGGAGGAAGUUGUAUAAUAUGUGCUACAUGGAGAAGAUGAAACUGCUUGCUUAGGGUGAUGCUGACAUUGCUAUAUGAAUCAUGUUGGCUAGAAAGGACAGGGAUCCGAAUUUCUUCUUAGAGCAUACUGUUGACGCUGAUGGUAGGCUGAACAACUUGUUCUGGUGUGAUUCGUAAUCACAUCAGGAUUAUCUUAACUAUGGUGAUGUCACUAUGUUCGACAGUACGUACAAAAUGAAUAGGUAAGAAAUUCCGUUUAUCCCUUUCGCCGGUCUCAACAAUCACCGUUGCACUACGGUAUUUGCAUGCACCAUUGUUUCAGAUGAGACUAAAGGUACGUAUGUUUGGCUGCUAGAGACAGUUUUGAAAGCUCACUGUCACAAGAAGCCCCAGUUUGUAAUUACUGAUGGAGAUGCAGCGAUGAUAAGGGCUUCCUGACGCGUGGCAUCGUCUAUGUUCAUGGCAUAUUGACAAGAACAUGCAGGAACACCUCCACCACAAGUCAUUGAAGGAAUUCAGGUCACUCCUAUACUACUCCACCACACAUACAAUUUUCGAGGAGAGAUGGGCCGCGUUUGUUCAGUAAUGGCAGACGGAGAAAACAAAAACAUGGCUCCAUAGGAUGUAUAGGAAGAAGAAGCUUUGGUUUGCAUCAUAUUUGUCUGGUGGGUUAUUUCUUGGUAUGCGGAGUAAUCACAAGAGCGAGAUCUUGAACUCUUUCCUGCACCUACAUCUUGACUAUGGUAUGACAACUGUUGACAUGAUUGUACACUAUGAGAAUUGCAUUAUGCGCCUCCGCGAGAAUGAAUCGCAUGACGAUUGCAUGGUGAUAUGUCACCAACGUAUCUAUAAUUUUUGAUUGUUCCAUGUUGUUAUAUUAUCAUUCUUGGAUGUUUUAUAAUCAUUUUAUAGUCAUUUUAUAUCAUUUUUUUGUACUAACCUAUUGACAUAGUGCCUAGUGCCAAUUGUUGUUUUCUGCAUGUUUUUUACAUCGCAGAAAAUCAUUACCAAACGGAGUCUAAAUGCAGCGAAACGUUUUGUGGACUUUUUUUGGGCCAGAAGACAUCCAGUGGGCCAGGAACGCACCUGAGGGGAGCUCCGAUGGAAGCACAACCCACCAGGGCGCGCCUGGGGCCUGAUAACCCACAAGUAUAGGGGAUCGCAAUAGUUUUCGAGGGUAGAGUAUUCAACCCAAAUUUGUUGAUUCGACACAAGGGGAAGCCAAAGAAUAUUCUCAAGUAUUAGCAGUUGAGAUGUCAAUUCAACCACACCUGAAAGACUUAGUAUCUGCAGCAAAGUAUCAUCAGCAAAGUAGUGUGAUAGCAACAGUAGAAAUGGUAAUAGUAGCAGCAGUGACAGUAGUAGCGACAGACUAACAGUAGCAGCAGUGACAAUAGUAGCGACAGAGUAACAGUAGCAGCAGUGACAGCAGUAGCGGCAAAGUAACGUAGCAAGGACCAGUAGGAAAAACUCGUAGGCAUUGGAUCGGUGAUGGAUAAUUAUGCCGGAUGACAUUCAUCAUGCAACACUUAUAAUAUAGAGAGAUACGUAACUAGCUCCAGUUCGUCAAUGUAAUGUAGGCAUGUAUUCCGUAUGUAGUCAUACGUGCUUAGGGAAAAGAACUUGCAUGACAUCUAUUGUCCAUCCCUCCCAUGGCAGCGAGGUCCUAAUGGAAACUACGGGAUAUUAAGGUUCUCCUUUUAACAGAGAACCGAAACAUCGCAUUAGCACUUAGUGAAUACAUGAACUCCUCAUACUAUGGUCAUCUCCGGGAGUGGUUCCGGGUAUUGUCACUCCGGGGUUGCCGGGUCAUAACACAUAGUAGGUGACUACAACUUGCAAGAUAGGAUCAAGAACACACAUAUAUUGACGAGAACAUAAUAGGUUCAGAACUGAAAUCAUGGCACUCGGGCCCUAGUGACAAGCAUUAAGCAUGGAAAAGUAGUAGCAGCAUCAAUCUCAGAACAUAGUGGAUACUAGGGAUCAAUCCCCAUCAAAACUAACUCGAUUACAUGAUAGAUCUCAUCCAACCCAUCACCGUCCAGCAAACCUACAAUGAGAUUACUCACGAACGGUGAAGAGCAUCAUGGAAUUGGCGAUGAAGGAAGGUUGGUGAUGAUGAUGGCGACGAUCUCCCCUCUGCGGAGCCCAGAACGGACUCCAGAUCUGCCCUCCAGAGGAAGAACAGGAGGCGGCGGCGCCUCCGUAUCAUAAUACGCGAUGAACUCUUCUCCUUGAUUUUUUUCCGGACGAAAGGGACUAAAUAGAUCUGGAGUUGUAGGCAGUGGAGCUCUAAGGCCCCCACAAGCCUGCUAUGCGCGGCCAGGGGGCCCCGCGCCUGGUGGGCUUGUGGGCUCCUCGGUCCACUCCUCCGGUUGAUUCUUGCGCCAGUAUUUUUUAUAUAUUCCACAAAAAAUCCUCGUAAAUUUCUAGCUCAUUCUGAGAAUUUUAUUUCUACGCAAAAACAACACCAUGGCAAUUCUGCUGAAAACAGCGUUAGUCCGGGUUAGUUCCAUUCAUAUCAUGCAAAUUAGAGUCGAAAACAAGGGCAAAAGAGUUUGGAAAAUUAGAUACGAUGGAGACGUAUCAACUCCCCCAAGCUUAAAGCCUUGCUUGUCCUCAAGCAAUUCAGUUGACAAACUGAAAAGGACAAAAGAAAAACUUUUAUGAACUCUGUUUGAUCUUGUUGUUGCAAUUAUGUCUAACUCAUGUUUAGAUUUUCAGCAAGAUCAUAAGCUAACCACAUAAAAAAUGACAUUUAGGUCUCAUGGCAAACUCAUAUCAAUGGCAUAAUCAACUAGCGAGCAAUAAUAAUAAGUUUCAAAUGUCAACACUUCAAUCAAAACAAUCAUGAAGCAGUAUGAACAGAUGGUAUCUCACUAGCCCUUUCUAAGACCGCAAAACAUAAAUGGAGAGCACCUUCAAAGACCAAGGGAUGACUGAACAUUCUAAUUCAUCGCAAAGAAGAUCCAGUCACAGUCAUACUCAAUAACAAUUAAAAGCAAAGCAUAGAAAUGAGAGAGGUGCUCUCUAAUUGCUGCUUUUAUAAGAAGAGGAUGACUCAACAGAAACAUAAAUAGAUAGGCCCUUCACAGAGGGAAGCAUUGAUUUGCAGAGGUGCCAGAGCUCAAGCUUUGAAGACAGAGAUAAACAAUUUCGGGUGGCCUGCUUUCAUUGUCAAUGCAAUGACCAACAGUUUUCACCAUCUUCCAUGCUACAUAUACUAUAGGCGGUUCCCAAACAGAAAAGUAAAGUUUUGACUCCCCAACCACCGAUCAGUCACACUCCACGACUAGACGAAUACUCGGGUGCCAUCCAUACCAACAACAAUCCAGGGGGAGUUUUGUUUGCAAUUAUCUUUUCGAUUUGAGCAUGGAACUGGGCAUUCCAAUUACCGGCCCCUUUCUCGUGAGUGAUAGUGAAUAAACACGUAUCGAGGAUAACACGCCUAACAUGGAAGAUACUGAUCGCCCCUUGUCACCACAUGAGCGGUUCAGGCAUUCAGAACAUAUUAUUUUCUUGAAGGUUUAGAGAGUGGCACAUGCAAAUUUACUUGGAACGGUAGGUAGAUACCGCAUAUAUGUAGGUAUGGUGGACUCAUAUGGAAAAACUUUGGGUUUAUGUAAGUGGAUGCCAAAGCAGCAUUCCCGCUUAGUACAAGUGAAGGCUAGCAAAAGACUGGGAAGCGACCAACUAGAGAACGACAACAGUCAUCAAAAUGCAUUGAGAUUAACCAACAUUGAGUGCAAGUAUGAGUAGGACAUACAUCACCAUGAACAUGAAUAUCAUAGAGGCUAUGUUGAUUUGUUUCAACUACAUGCGUGAACAUGUGCCAAGUCAAGCCACUUGAAUCAUUCAAAGGAGGAUACCAUCCUAUCAUACUACAUCAUAAUCAUCUCAAAAUUCAUGUUGGCAUCCAAGAAAACCAUUAUAAGCUCCUAGCUAAUUAAGCAUGGCAUCAGAAACUAUGAUCUCUAAGUUGUCAUUGCAAACAUGUUUCUCUCACAACAAAGCUGAAUUAGGAACGAUGAGCUAGUCAUAUUUACAAAAACAAAAGAUCGAGUUCAUACCAGCUUCUCCACGCUCAGUCACUUCAUCAUAUAUCGUCAUUAUUGCCUUUCACUUGCACGACCGAAUGAUGUGAACAAUAAUAAGAGUGUUCGUGCAUUGGACUAAGCUGGAAUCUGCAAGCAAACACAAAGGAGAAGACAAAGUAAUAUGGCUCUUUGACAGAUAAACAGAUAUGCAUGCGAGAGACACUAAACAUUGUAACCAUGGUCUUCUACCUUGACCCAAAGAAAAAGAAAACUAUUUACACGGGAAAGCUCCCAACAAGCAAAAGAAGAACGAGAAAUCUAUUUGGGUUUUCUCAAACUAGACAAACACAUGAGAAGAAAGCGAGAAAAAGAAAUAAACUAGCAUGGAUGAUACAUUGGCAAAGUAUGAACACCGACUAACAAAGUGAAAGCAUAAGUAAGAAUAUAUAAAGUCGGUGAGAAACACGUACUCCCCCAAGCUUAGGCUUUUCACCUAAGUUGGUCUACUCCCAUGGAGGGAAAUAACCGUCUCCGGGGUACUCCGCAGUGUACUGAGGGUGCAACUGCUGGGUGAGCUCCUAGAUUCAUCCUUCUCAAUGGGGAUGUGCAUAUCCCCAACAAGUAAAUCAUACUUCAUCUUGACAGUAGGUAUAGGGCAUUGAAAGCUCCCAAUAAGAAUCGAUGAACUUUUUUCAAUAGCCUUGAUGCAAUGUACUCGAUAUUGUUUCUUCGGAAAGUGCACCGUAUGCUCAUUACCAUUGACAUGGAAAGUGACAUUGCCUUUGUUGCAAUCAAUAACAACCCCUGAAGUGUUUAAAAAGGGUCUUCCAAGGAUGACCGCCAUGGCAUCAUUCUCGGGAAUAUCCAGGAUAACAAAGUCUGUUAAGAUAGUAACAUUAGCAACCACAACAGGCACAUCCUCGCAAAUGCCGAUAGGGAAAGCAGUUGAUUUGUCGGCCAUUAGCAGAGAGAUUUCAGUGGGUGUCAACUUGCCCUAUUCAAGUCUAUGAUAAAGAGAGAGAGGCAUAACACUAACACCGGCUCCAAGGUCGCAUAAAGCAGUUCUAAGGUAGUUUCCUUUAAUGGAGCAAGGUAUAGUGGGCACUCCGGGAUCACCUAGUUUCUUAGGAGUUCCACCCUUGAAGGUAUAAUUAGCGAGCAUGGUGGAAAUCUCAACCUCAGGUAUCCUCCUCUUAUUAGUCACAAUAUCUUUCAUGUACUUGGCAUAGGGAGACAUUUUGAGCAUAUGUGUCAAACGCAUUUGCAGAAAGACAUGUCUAAUCAUUUCAACAAAUCGCUCAAAAUCCUGAUCAUCAUUUUUCUUGGAUGGUUUGGGAGGAAAGGGCAUGGGUUUCUGAACCCAUGGUUCCCUUUCUUUACCAUGCUUCCUAGCAAUGAAGUCAUUCUUAUCGUAUCUCUUAUUCUUAGGUUGUGGGUUAUCAAGAUCAACUGGUUCAAUCUCCACAUCCUUAUCAUUGCUAGGUUGAGCAUCUUCAUGAGCAUCACUAUUGAUAUUAUCAUUAGGCUCAUGUUCAUCACCAGAUUGUGUUUCAGCAUCAGAAACUGAGACAUCAUUUGGACUCUCGGGUGUAACAGCAACAGGGUUGCCAUCGUUCAAAUUCCUAUCAUCUUUCUUCUUCUUCCUAGGAUGACUAGGUGCAUCAAUGCUAACUCCUUGAGAAUCUUGUUCAAUUCUCCUAGGAUGACCCUCAGGAUACAAAGGUUCCUGGGUCAUUCUACCGCCUCUAGUGACGACUCUGACAUAAUUGUCAUUCAACUCUAUGAGCAAGUCAUUUUGAGCCUUAAGUACUUGUUCUACUUGAGUAGUAACCAUAGAGGCACGUUUACUCAAAAUCUUAAGAUCAUUGAUGUUUUUAUCCACACAAGCACUUAAAUGACUAAGCAUGCGAGCAUUUUGUUCCAAUUGUGUGCUAACAUAAUCAUUGAAACUUUGUUGUUUGGCAACAAAGUUAUCAAAUUCAUCCAGGCAUAAGCUAGUAGGUUUAUCAAAAGGAAUAUCACUCUCAUUGAAUCUACGAAGAGAAUUUACCUCUACUACUUGUAUCGGGUUAUCAAGACCAUGGAUCUCUUAGAUAGGUGGUAGAUUUUUGACAUCUUCAGAUUUAAUGCCUUUCUCUUUCAUUGAUUUCUUAGCUUCUUGCAUAUCUUCAGGACUGAGGAAUAAGAUACCUCUUCUCUUCGGAGUUGGCUUCGGAGGUGGUUUGGGAAUAGUCCAAGCAUUCUCAUUGAACAAGAUAUUAUUCAAUAGGAUCUCAGCUUGUUCCAUAGUUCGUUCCCUAAAAACACAACCGGCACAACUAUCUAGGUGGUCCUUAGAAACAUCAGUUAGUCCAUUAUAGAAGAUAUCAAGUAUUUCAUUCUUCUCAAGAGGGUGAUCGGGCAAAGCAUUCGGUAGCUGGACGAGCCUCCCCCAAGCUUGUGGGAGACUCUCUUCUUCAACUUGCGCAAAGUUGUAUAUUUCCUGCAAGGCAGAUUGCUUCUUAUGGGCAUGGAAAUAUUUUUCAGAGAAGUAGUAGAUCAUAUCCUUGGGACUACGCACACAACUAGGAGCAAGAGAGGUGAACCAAGUUUUAGCAUCAUCCUUUAGCGAGAAAGGAAACAGCUUAACGAUAUAGUAGUGGCGGAUCUUUUCCUCACUCGUGAAUAGAGUGGAUAUAUCGUGCAGGUUAGUAAGAUGGGCUACAACCGUUUCAGACUCAUAACCAUGAAAAGGAUCAGAUUCGAACAAAGUUAUUAACUCUGGGUCGACAGAGAAUUCAUAAUCCUUAUCGGUCACAAAGAUAGGCGAAGUAGCAAACUUCGGGUCGUAUUUCAUCCUAGCGUUCAAAGAUUUUUCUUUCCACUUGCGCAGUAAUUUCUCAAGAUCAUAGCUAUCCUUACAAGCGAGAAAUUCCUUAGCUAUCUCUCCCUCCAUAACAUAACCCUCAGGCAUACCAGGCAAUUCAUAUCUAGGAUAGCUAGUUCUAACAGGCGAAAUAGCAGGUUCUACUUCAAUAAUCUCAGCAGUUUCAGAAGUAUCAUCACAUCGAAUAGCAACUCUAGCAAUUUGUUCAUCUAGGAAUGAACCUAGUGGCAAAGAAGUAUCAAGCAAAGCAUCAUCACAAGCAUCAUGGACAACAGAAGUAGCAUCAUCAAGCACAGGCGACACAUCAAAAUUUCUAGCAGGAGGUGGUGUCGCAAACUUACUCAUAACUGAAGGUGAAUCAAGUGGAGAGCUAGAUGGCAGUUCCUUACCUGUCCUCGUAGUUGAGGGCAAGACUUUACUAUUUUGAUCUCUCGGAUUCCUCUUAGUGAUCUGCAGACGCAAAUCCCAAGUGACUCAGAGAAUAGAGCUAGGCCUCCCCGGCAAGGGCGCCAGAAAAUAGUCUUGAUAACCCACAAGUGUAGGGGAUCGCAACAGUUUUCAAGGGUAGAGUAUUCAACCCAAAUAUAUUGAUUCGACACAAGGGGAAGCCAAAGAAUAUUCUCGAGUAUUAGCAGUUGAGUUGUCAAUUCAACCACACGUGAAAGACUUAGUAUCUGCAGCAAAGUAGUGUGAUAGCAACAGUAGCAACGGUAAUAGUAGCAGAAGUGACAGAGUAACAGUAGCAACAGUGACAACAGUAGCGACAGAGUAACAGUAGCAACAGUGACAGCAGUAGCAGCAAAGUAACGUAGCAAGGACCAGUAGGAAAAACUCGUAGGCAUUGGAUCGGUGAUGGAUAAUUAUGCCGGAUGACAUUCAUCAUGCAACAGUUAUAAUACAAAGAGAUAUGUAACUAGCUCCAGUUCGUCAAUGUAAUGUAGGCAUGUAUUCCGUAUGUAGUCAUACGUGCUUAGGGAAAAGAACUUCCAUGACAUCUAUUGUCCAUCCCUCCCGUGGCAGCGGGGUCCUAAUGGAAACUACGGGAUAUUAAGGUUCUCCUUUUAAUAGAGAACCGGAACAACGCAUUAGCACUUAGUGAAUACAUGAACUCCUCAUACUAUGGUCAUCUCCGGGAGUGGUUCCGGGUAUUGUCACUCCGGGGUUGCCGGGUCAUAACACAUAGUAGGUGACUACAACUUGCAAGAUAGGAUCAAGAACACACAUAUAUUGACGAGAACAUAAUAGGUUCAGAUCUGAAAUCAUGGCACUCGGGCCCUAGUGACAAGCAUUAAGCAUGGCAAAGUAGUAGCAACAUCAAUCUCAGAACAUAGUGAAUACUAGGGAUCAAUCCUCGUCAAAACUAACUCGAUUACAUGAUAUAUCUCAUCCAAUCCAUCACCGUCCAGCAAGCCUACAAUGAGAUUACUUACGAACGGUGAAGAGCAUCCUGGAAUUGGCGAUGAAGGAAGGUUGGUGAUGACGAUGGCGAUGAUCUCCCCUCUCCGGAGCCCAGAACGGACUCCAGAGCUGCCCUCCAGAGGAAGAACAGGAGGUGGCGGUGCCUCCGUAUCGUAAAACGCUAUGAACUCUUCUCCUUGAUUUUUUCCGGACGAAAGGGACUAAAUAGAGCUCGAGUUGGAGGCGGUGGAGCUGUGAGGGCCCCACAAGCCUGCUAGGCACGGCUAUGGGGGCCCGCGCCUGGUGGGCUUGUGGGCUCCUCGCUCCACUCCUCCGGUUGAUUCUUGCGCCAAUAUUUUUUAUAUAUUCCACAAAACAUCCUCUUAAAUCUCCAGGUCAUUCCGAGAACUUUUAUUUCUGCGCAAAAACAACACCAUGGCAAUUCUGCUGAAAACAGCGUUAGUCCGAGUUAGUUCCAUUCAAAUCAUGCAAAUUAGAAUCCAAAAAAGGGCAAAAGAGUUUGCAAAAGUAGAUACGACGAAGACGUAUCAGGGCCCAGGCGUGCCCCGGUGGGUUGUGCCCUCCUUGUUGGCCUCCCGCCCCGCCUCUUUGCUCUAUAAAAUACCCCAAAUAUUCCAGAAACCCUAAGAGGGGGGACGAAAAUCAAUUCUAGCCAUCGGAGAGUUCAGAAACACCAGGUCCAAUCUAGACACCAUCACAGAGUGGUUCAUCAUGUCCAUUGGUGCCUCUCCGAUGAUGCAUGAGUAGUUCUUUGUAGACCUACGUACGGGCCCAUAGUUAGUAGCGACAUGGCUUCCUCUCUCUCUCUUGGAUAUCAAUACAAUGGUUUGUUGUAGAUCCAUAUGAUGUAAGUCAUUUUGAGGUGUGUUUGUUGGGAUCCGAUGAACUCUGAGUUUAUGAUCAGAUCUAUGUUUUUAUCAUGAAAGUUAUUUGAGUCUUCUUUGAUCUCUUAUAUGCGUGAUUGAUUAUAGCCUCGUAUUUAUUCUCCGAUAUUUGGAUUUUGUUUGGCCAACUUGAUCGAUUUAUCUUGCAACGGGAAUAGGUGCUUUCUGAUGGGUUCGAUCUUACGGUGCUUGAUCCCAGUGAGAAAAAGGGAAACGACACGAAUGUAUUGUUGCUAUUAGGAUAACAAGAUGGGGUCUAUUUCUACAUAAAUAGAUCUUGUCUACAUCAUGCCAUCGUUCUUAUUUCAUUACUCUGUUUUUCCAUGAAAUUAAUACACUAGAUGCAUGCUGGAUAGCGGUCUAUGUGUGGAGUAAUAGUAGUAUAUGCAGGCAGGAGUCGGUCUACUAAUCUUGGACGUGAUGACUAUAUAAUGUUUAUUGCCUAGAUAUUGUCAUGAUUAUUUGAAGUUCUAUCAAUUUCCCAACAAUAAUUGUUUUUCCAACCGUUUUCUAUUUUUCUCGAGAGAAGCCACUAGUGAAACCUACGGUCCCUGGGUCUCUUUUCAUCAUAUUUGCCUGUGCGAUCUAUUUUCCUUUUCUUUUAUUUUCAUAUCUAUUAAACCAAAAAUACAAAAAUACAUUGAUGCAGUGUAUUUGUUCUGCGGUCUAUUUAUCCUAUAUAGCACUUUUACCUCACGUUAUUUACCUAUCUUGAGAAGCCGUACCCGAAAGGGAUUGACAACCCCUUUAACACAUCGGGUUGCGAGUAUUUGUUAUUUGUGUGUAGGUGCUGUUUAUGUGAUGUGAGGAGGUUCUCCUACCGGUUCGAUAACCUUGGUCUCAUCACUAAGGGAAAUACCUACCGUCGCUAUACUGCAUCAUCCUUUCCUCUUUGGGGAAAUAUCGACGUAGUUCUAGCAGACAUCAAAAGGAAUUUUUGGCGCCGCUGCCGGGGAGGAUCUUGAACAUCAACCAGGUUCCUGAUCACAGAUCUCAUCUCCUCGCAAUUUACAUUCGUUCACCGUUUUUUGUCAGAUCUGUUUUUGAGUACAAUCUUGUUGUGAAGUCAUCAUGAGUCAAGAGAACACCAAGUUGUGUGAUUUCUCAAAUACCAACAACAAUGAUUUUAUCAGCACUCCGAUUGCUCCUCCCGCCACUAGUGUGGAGUCUUGCGAUAUUAAUACUGCCUUGCUGAAUCUUGUUAUGAAAGAUCAAUUUUCCGGUACUCCUAACAAGGAUGCGGCAUCCGAUCUUAACACAUUCGUGGAAUUAUGCGAUAUGUAAAAGAAAAAAUAUGUGGACAAUGAUGUUGUGAAGUUGAAAUUAUUUCCGUUUUCUUUGCGAGAUCAUGCAAAAAUUUGGUUUUCUUCUUUGCCUCGCAAUAAUAUAGAUUCUUGGAACAAGUGCAAGGAUGCUUUUAUUACUAAGUAUUUUCCGCCUGCAAAAAUUAUUUCUCUUAUAACCCAGAUCAUGAAUUUCAAGCAACUUGAACAUGAGCA
Molecule: long non-coding RNA, 40689 nt
Filed under: Hordeum vulgare
Lineage: Eukaryota; Viridiplantae; Streptophyta; Magnoliopsida; Poales; Poaceae
Description: long non-coding RNA (HVUL_LNC007191)
Source: RNAcentral